ACCCGCUGAACUUAAGCAUAUCAAUAAGCGGAGGAAAAGAAACCAACAGGGAUUGCCUCAGUAACGGCGAGUGAAGCGGCAACAGCUCAAAUUUGAAAUCUGGCUCUUGAGUCCGAGUUGUAAUUUGUAGAAGAUGCUUCGGGUGUGGCUCCGGUCUAAGUUCCUUGGAACAGGGCGUCAUAGAGGGUGAGAAUCCCGUAUGUGACUGGUUGCCUUCGCUCAUGUGAAGCUCUUUCGACGAGUCGAGUUGUUUGGGAAUGCAGCUCAAAAUGGGUGGUAAAUUUCAUCUAAAGCUAAAUAUUGGCCAGAGACCGAUAGCGCACAAGUAGAGUGAUCGAAAGAUGAAAAGCACUUUGGAAAGAGAGUUAAACAGUACGUGAAAUUGUUGAAAGGGAAGCGCUUGCAACCAGACUUGCACGCAGUUGAUCAUCCGGUGUUCUCACCGGUGCACUCUGCUGCGUUCAGGCCAGCAUCGGUUUUGGUGGUUGGAUAAAGGCCUUGGGAAUGUAGCUUCUUUCGGGGAGUGUUAUAGCCCUCGGUGCAAUGCAGCCUACCGGGACCGAGGACCGCGCUUCGGCUAGGAUGCUGGCGUAAUGGUUGUAAGCGACCCGUCUUGAAACACGG
RNAcentral lists this ribosomal RNA (624 nucleotides) under uncultured fungus. Its description in RNAcentral is "LSU rRNA". It matches the Rfam family "Eukaryotic large subunit ribosomal RNA", at positions 23 to 664 of the family's 3401-position model. Lineage: Eukaryota; Fungi. The record is from RNAcentral.